Eriocheir sinensis (Chinese mitten crab) is the source of this 3509-nucleotide long non-coding RNA. RefSeq lists it as uncharacterized. The transcript has 2 exons. Lineage: Eukaryota; Metazoa; Arthropoda; Malacostraca; Decapoda; Varunidae. The record is from RefSeq and is a predicted model, not a curated record.
UCCACCUUAUAAUCUCCUUGUCACCAGGUGUCCAGUAUCCAACUCUCCUGCUCUUCCUAUCGAGGAGAGGUGACAGGUGGAGAGGCACACCUGUCAAGUAGCGCUCAUUUGCCAUGCACCUGCCCGACCUAAUAGUCCCUCCACACUGAGACGUUUUACACACGCCCAUUCUCUUUAUCAAUCAUGCAAGCCCUUCCCCCUGGCCGGCCAAUCAGCUCCCUCCUAGCCUGCCUGUGGGGAUAUGUGCAUGUUACUGAUUGGUGGAGACUACGUGAGAGGGGAAGGAUGGGGGAGGGAGGAAGGGAGUGUGUGCGUUUGUGUGUCUGUGUUUGUGUAGCGUAUCCGUCGCUCUCUCUCUCUUUCUCUCUCUCUCUCUCUCUCUCUCUCUCUCUCUCUCUCUGUCUCACGCUCACUCCCUUCGGCGAGGCUCUAAGUGUGACUCUGAGCAGUAGUUGUGUCACGGGGUUGAGCGUGAACGUGAGUGAUCUUUUCUCUCUCUCUCUCUCUCUCUCUCUCUCUCUCUCUCUCUCUCUCUCUCUCUCUCUCUCUCUCUCUCUCUCUCUCUCUCUCUGUCUAUCUAUCUCCAUCUCUAUCUCACUCUCUCGUUGUAUUUCCGAUGGAGAUAAUUUUCCUGACUGUUUUCUUUCUUUCUUUUCUUUAUUUUCUUGCUGUCUGUGUUUUCUUGAUCUUUUUCUUUCUGUUUCCACUCAUUUUUCUUUUUCCUUUAUUUUUUUUUCGUAUACUCUGUUUUCUCUCUCUAUUUUCUCUCUCUCAACCCGAAGUCAGGGAGGAAAAGAGUGAGAAAAAGAUACUGAGCGAGAAAAAAAAAUGAGCGAAAAAGGAAAAUAUUUGUCACGAUGAUAAAGGAAAGAAAAGACAGUCAGACAGACAGAUAAAACAUUCCGACAGUUAAAACAAACGUCAGACAGCAACAGGAGACGACGAAGAUCAAACAGACUCAAAGAAAGCUGAAGAAAAAAAAUCAAAAUCGAAAAAGGAAUAAAAAAUCAAGAAAAAGUGAUAUUUGAAUAAAAAAAAAAAGAUUAGAGAUCGGGAAAAAAAAUUUGUGAUGUUGAAAAAGAUAAUAAUAAGGAAAAUAUGAGGAAAAAAAAUGAAAAGUGAAAUAGAAGAAAAAGAAAGAUCUCGAAUUUGUCUUGAGUUUUGAACAGACGUGAUGAGAGAGAAAGAAAAGUAAGACAAUUCGUAUACAGAGAAAAGAAAAGAAGUGAAAUAAGAAAAGAAAAAGAAAGAGGUCGCGGAAGUAUAAUUGAGAGAGAAAGAAAGAAAGAAUAAAAGAAAAAGAAAAAAAAUGAGAGAAAGAAAAGAAAACAUUACAUAUACAGAGAGAAAAAAAGAAGUGAAGUAAGAAAAGAAAAAAAAGAAAGAUCGCGGAAAUAUAAUUGAGAAAGAAAGAAAAAAAUAAAAAAAUGAGAGGAAGAAAAGAAAACAAUACAUAUACAGAGGAAAAAGAAGAGUGAAAUAGGAGAGGAAAAAAAGGAAAGGUCGCGAAAGUUUAAUUUUUCUUUCCCUUUUUCAACAGAUAAGAAAAAAAAAAAUCGUGCGGAGAAAAUAAAGAAACGUAACAUUAAGCGAAAAGAAAAAAAAGAGGUCGGAAGAAAUUGAAACGAAAUUGAAGAGGAAAAAAAAGAAGAAAAAAAAAGUUGCCAAAGAAGACGAUAUAUUAAGAAAACAAAGUGAAAGAAAGAAAGAAAAAAGAAAACUGGUGAAGAUAAUUGAUAAAGAAAAAAGAAGGAAGAAAUUGAUGCUAAAUUGAACAAAGAGGAAACGAGAAAAGAAAAAAAUAACAACAAAAAUCUGCCAAAGAAGACGACAUAUUAAGAAAAGAAAGAAAAAAAAACGGAAACGGGUGAAGAUAAUUGAUAAAGAAAAAAAAGAAGAAAAAAACAAGAUAAUACCAAAGAAAAGAAAGUAUAAAUGAAACGAAUUAAACCAGAGAAAAAAAAGAAAGAAAGAUAAGUUGAUCAAGAAGAUAACAAGAGAGAAAGUACCAAAGAAAAGUAUGCGCAAAACAAACCCCAACUGACAUAGAGAAAUAAAUUAAUAGAGAAAAAGAAGUGACGGAGAAAAUAAGUAAUGAAGAAAAUAUAGUCACGUGAAUAUCCGGACGCCGCUAAGAAGAGGAGGAGGAGGAGAAGCAGAGACAGGAAACAAGAGAACAGCGGCAUCAAAACAUCGACCGUCAACCCACAUCAUGAAGGGCAUGAGUGCGUGGGUGGAGCAGGGAUGGUGCCCCCCCGACCCCGAGCCCCCUUAAAAGGCAGGAAGUGGAGCCGCCCUGGGACACCACCUUCGCUUAUCCGGACCUGCUCAACUAUCCGGACUCCCCUCCACGCCAAGACUUCCAAUAUCCGGACUCACUCUGCUUGGACUAUCCGGACCGUCGCUACUGGAAGGCCGCUUUAUGGACUCAUAUUACCGGACUUCUUUGAUUAUACGGAUUUUUCAUCGAAUUUCAGUUAUCCGGACCACUUCAUUUAUCCGGAUUGACUUAUCAGAAAUCCCUCGCCAUUAUCCGGAGUGCCUUAACCGGAUUGUCUCGAUUAUACGGAUUCUUUCUACGAAUUUCGAUUAUCCGGACUUGAGGGUACCACUUCAGUUAUCCGGACUGAGUUGCCAGGACUACGUUGCUAUUAUCCGGAGUGCCUUAACCGGAUUGUCUCGAUUAUACGGAUUCCUUCUACGAAUUUCGAUUAUCCGGACUCGAGGGUACCACUUCAGUUAUCCGGACUUGAGUUGCCAGGACUGCGUUGCUAUUAUCCGGAGUGCCUUAACCGGAGUGCCUCGAUUAAACGGAUUUCCUCUACGAACUUCGAUUAUCCGGACACUUUUUAGGGUACUACUUCGUUUAUCCGGAUUCUGCGUCCAUUAUCCGGAGUGGCUUAACCGGAUUGCCUCGAUUAAACGGAUUUUCUCUGCGAACUUCGAUUAUCCGGACACUUUUUAGGGUACUACUUCGUUUAUCCGGAUUCCGUUACCAUUAUCCGGAGUGCUUUAACCGAACUGAAUAACUGCUGAUGAGGUGUGGUAAUCGUACGUCCAGAAUCUCAUCCGUCCUUUGCCUCACUUAUCCGGACUCAAGAGUACUUAACCGGACGUCUUACCCUUAUCCGGAACAGUUCUUGGUGUGAUAACUUUUUUUUUUUUUUUUUUGCUUUUCCUUACCUUACCUUACCUUACCUUACCUUACCUUACCUUACCUUACCUUACCUUACCUUACCUUACCUUACCUUACCUUACCUUACCUUACCUUACCUUACCUUACCUUACCUUACCUUACCUUACCUUACCUUACCUUACCUUACCUUACCUUACCUUACCUUACCUUACCUUACCUUACCUUACCUUACCUUACCUUACCUUUCCUUACCUUACCUUACCUUACCUUACCUUACCUUACCUUACCUUACCUUACCUUACCUUACCUUACCUUACCUUUCCUUACCUUACCUUACCUUACCUUACCUUACCUUACCUUACCUUACCUUACC